Molecule: ribosomal RNA, 432 nt
Filed under: uncultured bacterium
Lineage: Bacteria
Description: partial 16S ribosomal RNA
Rfam family: Bacterial small subunit ribosomal RNA
Source: RNAcentral
ACGAACGCUGGCGGCAUGCCUAACACAUGCACGUCGCACGCACCCUUCGGGGUUAGUGGCGCACGGGUGCGUAACGCGUGGGAAUCUGCCCUUUGCUUCGGAAUAACUCAGGGAAACUUGUGCUAAUACCGGAUGAUGUCUUCGGACCAAAGAUUUAUCGGCAAGGGAUGAGCCCGCGUAGGAUUAGGUAGUUGGUGGGGUAAAGGCCUACCAAGCCGACGAUCCUUAGCUGGUCUGAGAGGAUGAUCAGCCACACUGGGACUGAGACACGGCCCAGACUCCUACGGGAGGCAGCAGUGGGGAAUAUUGGACAAUGGGCGCAAGCCUGAUCCAGCAAUGCCGCGUGAGUGAUGAAGGCCCUCGGGUCGUAAAGCUCUUUUACCAGGGAUGAUAAUGACAGUACCUGGAGAAUAAGCUCCGGCUAACUCCGUG